UGUAGGAGUGAGCCUGCUCGCGAUAGCGGAAUGUCAGGAACAUAUUUGUCGACUGACACCCCGCUAUCGCGAGCAGGCUCACUCCUACA
This 89-nucleotide unclassified non-coding RNA is filed under the name Pseudomonas moraviensis. The record is from RNAcentral. Lineage: Bacteria; Pseudomonadati; Pseudomonadota; Gammaproteobacteria; Pseudomonadales; Pseudomonadaceae.